AUGCCCGACAAGUCAACCCUAUCAGCUAACUCCUCGGCGGGGGCGGGGCACAACAACAACAAGAAGAAGAAGCCGAUGUAUAUUCGGCCGCCGGCACCGAUGGUGAACAUGAAACCAUCGAUAUGCGCCAAGACUUGGUACGAUCGAUGGGGCGAGAUGAAUUGCUUCCCUCUCACUGAAACCAAGCUCUUCUUCACCGACAGCUCCGCGCGCAUCUUCCGCUUCGAUGCCGACACCCACUGCAUCGACACCAUGCCCAGCCUCCACACGCCCAAGUCCUCCCCCUUGUCCUUCUCCAUCCCUCCAAAUCCGACCACCUCCAAGGAAGGCCAAGGCGAAGGCGGAGGCCUCUACAUCAUGGACAGGAUCCUCAGGCCCAACAAGGAGGGUCAGGUCCAGUUUGAGUCUAUCUCGUACCGCAGGCGCUGCAACCACUCCAGCAAGGCCUGGCACUGCGACGCCCUCCCGCCGCCGCCUUUCGUCCACGACCCGGCCUACAAACAAGCCUCCAUCUGCUCCUAUGCCCUGGUUGGCGGCCACACCAUCUGUAUCUCCAUCAGGGGCGUCGGCACCUACUUUGACACGCUGGCUUGCGAGUGGAGCAAGGCUGGCAACUGGCUCAUGCCGUUUCAUGGCAGGGCGGAGUAUGACCCGGAGCUCGGCCUCUGGCUUGGCGUCUCUGAGCGCAACAUCCACCUCCCCUGCGUCGCCGACAUCUCCGGUGUCCUCAGAGGGGAGGAGCCGCUGCGGGAGCACACUCGAAUCUGGGAGGAUACUGACAUGCCAGAGGGGUGGUACCCGCACAGUCAGUGCCCCACCCAAGUUGUCAGCCUGGGUUCAGGCAGGUUUUGCGUCACCAACUUCGUUGAAACUAAGGACUUCGAUGAGCGCUGCGGCCAUUCGUUGGUUGACGACAUAUUUGCUGUCUUCACCGGCAUGGAGCUAGUGUUACCCGGCAAUGACAAUGAUGAGGGCAAAGCCAACAGCAACAGCAAGGGCGACUCCAAAGGCAAUGCCAAUGGGAACGGCAACGGGAUUGCUGGUGUGCGUAUGAUUAAGCAUAAAUCCAGAUCUUGCAGGAGUCACGGCACCAACUUGAUCAAGUCUGUGCUCUGA
This 1116-nucleotide ribosomal RNA is filed under the name Triticum aestivum (bread wheat). RNAcentral's name for it is "partial small subunit ribosomal RNA". The record is from RNAcentral. Lineage: Eukaryota; Viridiplantae; Streptophyta; Magnoliopsida; Poales; Poaceae.